UGGCUCUUCUGUUCUCACGGAGAUCAGGAGUUUGGAUUUUAUUCUGAUUGUGAUGGGGAAUCACCCGAGGGUUUUACGCAGGGACAAAGCUUGAUCCUACUUACACUUUUAAACAGAUUAUCCUGCUGUGUGGAGGAUGGAUUGUAGGAGAGCAGAGUAGAAGCAGGAAGACGAGGUGGAUCGGACCAAGAUGGAUCUUACAAAGACACGACGACUGAAAGAAGCCAGGGACGAAAGAGCACAUCCCAUUUGCUUCCAUCUGUAUCAAGUACACGAACAGAGCACAGGCUCCGGACGCGCAGGCCCAGCGGCCAUGGCUCACGGGCCCAGCCGCUCCGCGGCAUAUGGGAUCCUCCCAGACCGGGGCAC
Molecule: long non-coding RNA, 369 nt
Organism: Mesoplodon densirostris (Blainville's beaked whale)
Lineage: Eukaryota; Metazoa; Chordata; Mammalia; Artiodactyla; Ziphiidae
Exons: 3
Source: RefSeq, a predicted model, not a curated record